AGUCAUUCAAUACACACUGAACAUUUUAUUACGAUGCCUACAUCUAAGAAACUUGAUAAGUCUAAUUAAUUAAAAGAUUAACAUAGCAGCCAACUUGGACUGCAGGGAGUAGACAAUAUGAUGUUUAAUUUUCCCACUAUGUGACCAUCUGAAUUCACUAUUCCUUAUGGGCGGCUCAAACCUGUCAUCAUGACCUUUUGUAACAGCCAAACGUUUUGGAUAAACGUUUUAUUUAAAACAUUUUGUGCAUACUUUUUCCGUUCACGUUAGCCUACAAUUGUUAAAAUUCUCAUAUUUUAAUCAUGACAGACAGAGCUAGCCUCUGGCGGCAAUGCCGUUGUCCCGGCUCUGUGGGAAACCGCCAGGCUCACGCAUACCACAGUGGGCAGAUCUGCAGAGCGCGAGGAGAGAGGAAGUGGAAAUUAGACAGACACGCGAGCAGGGGUUCAGGCCAAAGACAUUAUCCAGACGAGGAGCAGCCGUCAUCACAAGGCCUUGUCGAUGAGCGCCAUAAAUACUGGUCUGGGGAGAAUCUCUGAGGAUACCUCCCAAAUGGCACCCUAUUCCUUGUUUUAGUCCAAUAUUUUACAUGGGCCUUGGACAAAAGUAAUGGACUAGGCGAUAUAGGGAAUAAGGUGUCUUUUAGGACGCACAUUGGGGGAGAAUCUCUUAUUACUAAACAGCUAAACUAGAGCAUCAGAUGAACACACUCAAUGCGUCCCUAAUUGCACCAUAUUCCCUUAAUAGUGCACUACUUUUGACCAGGGCCCAUAGGGCAUUAUAUUGGAAAUAGAGUUCCAUUUGGGACGUAACCACUGUUACAGGGACUGGGAAAGGAAGGAUCACUGUUGGCCUAGCUUAAGUGAGCUCCCCGUGGGAAAGCGUCAGAGCGCGAGAAUAGUUGAAGAGUUGUCAUGCAGCAUAAUCUUCCGGGGACAUAUUUUGAAGGGAGGAGAGGGGAGAGGCUCCUAUACUCGACACAAAUAGAGCAUGAUUUCAGAUCAACGCUGGACCUGUUGGACAAGUUUGGUUAAAACAGGAACUAGCGAUGGGCCUACGAUACAUUAUUAAAACAGUCGCAAGAGAUGCUUCUUCCACAACCCCAUACUCAACCAGUUCGCCCCUCCCGCGUGUACCUCUUCGGCUAUAUUUGUCUAGAUCGAAAUAAUCAAAUAAACCCUGAUGGUUUGGAACGACUCGACUACUGUAUUACCCUAUCGGGGGCUCUAUAUCGGAACCAUGCUCUCCCUAAUCUCCUGUUGGGCCCAAAACAGAUUUAAACCAAUCAGGACUCGCCUAGUGUUCUUGCGCUACUAAUGGGGAUUAAUUGAGACGUAAAAAAAGGAGGCCUCGAGCUUGUCACCCCACUGAUAAGCAACGUUCUAGACUAGAGUCUAGCUGGCGUUCUCACUACACCGCUGCUUCAGGAGUAGAGCCACAGAGCAUACCUGCUGUCACAUAGCGGGACCAGCCACUUGAUGUAUGUAAAUAGAUUUGGAGACAGCAUGGCGUCGCCUCAGGACGCUAGCAGCCUCGUCGCUGGCUGCAGCAGAGUUUACGUUUCUGAUUUGCAUCAGUUUUAGAAUCAGCCAGGACACAAGCCAUUAUUUGACGUCCAUGCAGGUAUGAGGACGUCGGGAGAUGACGUUGAAACCGCAACACUAGGGGAAACAGUGAGCACUGUUACCUUCAAGUAGGUUUCGCUAGGCGUUAUGGGAUGGGAAUGACGGGCGGCUGUGUAAGCGUCUGCCUCUGAUUCCAAAGAAUGCAAGUUCGAAUCCAGCAAUAGAAAGUUGUUUUUGAUAUUUUUGUUUUAAGCCUAUCCCAAACCUUAACCCUUAGCUUAACCAUUCGGAUGAACGUCUAAUUCUAACGUGAGACUGUGAGAGCUGGUAGUUUAGAAUACCCAAUUGUGGUGUGAGGCUCUCAAAUUCAAAGGACCAGAGCAAGCUGCAGCUUGCUGUGUUGGAGUGACAUGGAACUUAGAUAAAGAGAAGCGGUGACCACGAGGAAGAACAACACAAAUAGGCAAAUUAAGAUUCUAAUCGAUUCUCCAUGAGUGGAAUGGGAAGGUUAAUUUAGCCUUAUGUCAAUACAAUGAAACAAUAAUUACCCAAAUGUUUGUGUUUUUGAUUUGACAUCAACACCCAUGGAAAAAUACCAGAAAAGGUUGGUUUCAAUUAGGCUAUUGACACACUUGCAAUUUGGUCAAGCUUUUUCAAUAGGCAUAGAGUUAAAGCAGCCAAUGCUUAAAUGUGAUUUUUAUGGAUUAAUAUUUUUUAUUUUACGCCAUUCAUAUAUUUUUCUAAUUAUGCUAUUAUUCUUAAAAUAUUUUCUGACAUUGUGACACACACGCAAACAGUUUCAUUAUGCGGUUCUCUCUACACAUGACCCUAAACUCUUUACACUAAACCUAACCACAACCGCAUCCGGAGCCGUUUGUGUGUUUUCCUCUCAGAUGGCAGAUUAAGACCCAUUAAACACAGUCAUUAUUUCUCUUUAAAUCUACACAGCUGUGUGUGUGUGUGUGUGUGUGUGUGUGUGUGUGUGUGUGUGUGUGUGUGUGUGUGUGUGUGUGUGUGUCGAAAUGUCAGAAAAUACUUUAAGAAUAAACAAAUAUGCAUGCUUAAAAUAAGAAAAACACAAAAAGAUGCUUGAAAUCUAGGAGUUUACACAACAUUAUAAUAAACAAUAGUUGACAGGCACACAAAUAAUUACAAAGAGAGAUUGGUUCCAGAAAGGUUCGAAUCAGGCCAAAUUCUCUUAAUUGGACCGUCUUUGGACAAAAGGUGUCCGAUUGGGUGUCACUUAUUAAGAUCAGUUCUGACCAGAAGAGAACUGUACGGAAACUAGAGUCUUUCAGAGUGAAAGAGAAGUGGAUAGGGCCUUGGCCUUUGGUUUUGAAGAGAACGGGUGAAACAACACGCCCUAAGGAGGGCCUGGCACCCUAUUCCCUAUAUUGUAGCCAGGGCUCUCAUCAAAAGUAGUGCACAAUAUUGGGAAUAGGGUGUAAUUUGGGACGCAAGACAGCACUUGCUGAUGCGGGUUUAAGACACAUGACACCGCCUCCAGUUGUUGCUUUACAGUACCGCGUUUGGUUUGAUUAAUCGCCGGGGCCUUUAGUAACAUCUCCGCUAAAGAGAGAGAGAGGUAGUUACAAACAGAACCGCCCGCACCUACUGUAUUUACCUGUAAGUGCGCCCCCCCCACACACACACACACUUUCCAAACUGAAGUACGUCAUUAGCAGCUGUUAAUGACUCGUGCACACUCACACAAUAUAGCUCUCUUCCUUGCUUCGUCAACAUCGAAAUAACAAAGCCAUGUUUUCACCAAGACGUGCCCCAACAGCGCGCGCGCAAUCUUAACUGGGAGAGGAGGAAGAGGGGCAGGGAAGGAAGGAAGAAAGAAAGAAUCAACUGCUGUCAUCACAUUCCCCAAGCAGAGAAGAAAUGUUAGUUAAAGACUGCAGUUAACCAUUGGAUGGUGUGGGAUGUCGGCAGUGCUUAAUUUGAGCUCGAUCCUGUCGGAACAGGAUCUGGCAUUUCUCGGUUUUGGACGGUGUCAUUCCGGUGCCUCUUUAUUGCAUGACCUUUUUUCUCUCUCACGUGUCGCAAUGUCACAAGUAUAAUAAAAGCUAUCAAAAAGUU
Oncorhynchus tshawytscha (Chinook salmon) is the source of this 3650-nucleotide long non-coding RNA. The record is from Ensembl. NCBI's taxonomy places the organism in Eukaryota, Metazoa, Chordata, Actinopteri, Salmoniformes, Salmonidae.